RNAcentral lists this ribosomal RNA (452 nucleotides) under Escherichia coli. RNAcentral's name for it is "partial 23S ribosomal RNA". It matches the Rfam family "Bacterial large subunit ribosomal RNA", at positions 2349 to 2800 of the family's 2925-position model. RNAcentral also lists the same sequence under 2 other names. The record is from RNAcentral. Lineage: Bacteria; Pseudomonadati; Pseudomonadota; Gammaproteobacteria; Enterobacterales; Enterobacteriaceae.
GUGCAAUGGCAUAAGCCAGCUUGACUGCGAGCGUGACGGCGCGAGCAGGUGCGAAAGCAGGUCAUAGUGAUCCGGUGGUUCUGAAUGGAAGGGCCAUCGCUCAACGGAUAAAAGGUACUCCGGGGAUAACAGGCUGAUACCGCCCAAGAGUUCAUAUCGACGGCGGUGUUUGGCACCUCGAUGUCGGCUCAUCACAUCCUGGGGCUGAAGUAGGUCCCAAGGGUAUGGCUGUUCGCCAUUUAAAGUGGUACGCGAGCUGGGUUUAGAACGUCGUGAGACAGUUCGGUCCCUAUCUGCCGUGGGCGCUGGAGAACUGAGGGGGGCUGCUCCUAGUACGAGAGGACCGGAGUGGACGCAUCACUGGUGUUCGGGUUGUCAUGCCAAUGGCACUGCCCGGUAGCUAAAUGCGGAAGAGAUAAGUGCUGAAAGCAUCUAAGCACGAAACUUGCCCC